AGCUGUUUUGGGACUACAAUUCCCAUCAUCCCUGACCACUGGGCCUGCUAGGGAAGAUGGGAGUUGUAGUCCCAAAACAGCU
RNAcentral lists this microRNA precursor (82 nucleotides) under Podarcis lilfordi (Lilford's wall lizard). The record is from RNAcentral. Lineage: Eukaryota; Metazoa; Chordata; Lepidosauria; Squamata; Lacertidae.